Molecule: ribosomal RNA, 510 nt
Filed under: uncultured bacterium
Lineage: Bacteria
Description: partial 16S ribosomal RNA
Rfam family: Bacterial small subunit ribosomal RNA
Source: RNAcentral
GACGAACGCUGGCGGCGUGCUUAACACAUGCAAGUCGAACGAAGAGCGACGGAAGCUUGCUUCUAUCAAUCUUAGAGGCGAACGGGUGAGUAACGCGUAAUCAACCUGCCCUUCAGAGGGGGACAACAGUUGGAAACGACUGCUAAUACCGCAUACGAUCUAAUCUCGGCAUCGAGGAUGGAUGAAAGGUGGCCUCUACAUGUAAGCUAUCACUGAAGGAGGGGAUUGCGUCUGAUUAGCUAGUUGGAGGGGUAACGGCCCACCAAGGCGAUGAUCAGUAGCCGGUCUGAGAGGAUGAACGGCCACAUUGGGACUGAGACACGGCCCAGACUCCUACGGGAGGCAGCAGUGGGGAAUCUUCCGCAAUGGACGAAAGUCUGACGGAGCAACGCCGCGUGAGUGAUGACGGCCUUCGGGUUGUAAAGCUCUGUUAAUCGGGACGAAAGGCCUUCUUGCGAAUAGUGAGAAGGAUUGACGGUACCGGAAUAGAAAGCCACGGCUAACUACGUG